Molecule: ribosomal RNA, 468 nt
Filed under: uncultured bacterium
Lineage: Bacteria
Description: partial 16S ribosomal RNA
Rfam family: Bacterial small subunit ribosomal RNA
Source: RNAcentral
GACGAACGCUGGCGGCGUGCUUAACACAUGCAAGUCGAACGGAAAGGCCCUGCUUUUGUGGGGUGCUCGAGUGGCGAACGGGUGAGUAACACGUGAGUAACCUGCCCUUGACUUUGGGAGAACUUCAGGAAACUGGGGCUAAUACCGGAUAGGAGCUCCUGCUGCAUGGGGGGGGUUGGAAAGUUUCGGCGGUUGGGGAUGGACUCGCGGCUUAUCAGCUUGUUGGUGGGGUAGUGGCUUACCAAGGCUUUGACGGGUAGCCGGCCUGAGAGGGUGACCGGCCACAUUGGGACUGAGAUACGGCCCAGACUCCUACGGGAGGCAGUAGUGGGGAAUCUUGCACAAUGGGCGGAAGCCUGAUGCAGCAACGCCGCGUGCGGGAUGACGGCCUUCGGGUUGUAAACCGCUUUCGCCUGUGACGAAGCGUGAGUGACGGUAAUGAGUAAAGAAGCACCGGCUAACUACGUG